This 514-nucleotide ribosomal RNA is filed under the name uncultured microorganism. RNAcentral's name for it is "bacterial SSU rRNA". It matches the Rfam family "Bacterial small subunit ribosomal RNA", at positions 9 to 518 of the family's 1533-position model. The record is from RNAcentral.
GAGUUUGAUCUUGGCUCAGAUUGAACGCUGGCGGCAGGCCUAACACAUGCAAGUCGAGCGGACGAAGGGAGCUUGCUCCUGGAUUCAGCGGCGGACGGGUGAGUAAUGCCUAGGAAUCUGCCUGGUAGUGGGGGAUAACGUCCGGAAACGGGCGCUAAUACCGCAUACGUCCUGAGGGAGAAAGUGGGGGAUCUUCGGACCUCACGCUAUCAGAUGAGCCUAGGUCGGAUUAGCUAGUUGGUGGGGUAAAGGCCUACCAAGGCGACGAUCUGUAACUGGUCUGAGAGGAUGAUCAGUCACACUGGAACUGAGACACGGUCCAGACUCCUACGGGAGGCAGCAGUGGGGAAUAUUGGACAAUGGGCGAAAGCCUGAUCCAGCCAUGCCGCGUGUGCGAAGAAGGUCUUCGGAUUGUAAAGCACUUUAAGUUGGGAGGAAGGGCAGUAAGUUAAUACCUUGCUGUUUUGACGUUACCAACAGAAUAAGCACCGGCUAACUUCGUGCCAGCCGCCGC